CCGCGCCUCCUGCCGGCAACGUGACCACUUCUCGCGGCAAUGCGCCAUGUGUGGCCCAUGUUCCGGCGUCGCCCUCCGCGGCCUCAGCACACAGGCCGUUCAACUCCGCCACCUGACGCCGUUCACCUCCGCCACCUGACGCCGUUCACCACCACCAGUCCCCGUCCAAGGCUGCCCCAAAGACCCCGUGCGUUAACACCCCUGUCAACCCCGAAUUUUGUUUCUCUCAGCUUCAAAAAGAGGUUCAGUUCAAAACUUGCAAUGUCUCCAGGAAUGUUACUACUGAAUUUUUUCUGUUUGAGUUCAUUUUGAAUCCAUGUGCCAUUUUGCUAUCUUUUAAAGGUGUUUGUUGUAAUGCAGAAAACAUUUUGUAAUACCAAAAAACAAACGCUAGCAAAAAGUUCAUGCUUAGAAAGUUUGUACGUUCAUACAUAGAAACUUAAUAAGUUCAGGAAAAAAAUUGAAAACAAAAAGAUGUUGACUGUACAUUGCUACCAAUUUAGUUAUCCAUACCGAAGCCUUGAUCUCUUAUUUUUUUUAUCAAAAUAGGGGGCUUCCACACCAAAUGGAUCUCUGCUUCCGGCCGCGGUGGGAACACCAGGUAUGCUACUCGUGUUUUUCCAUGCUGGACACCAAGCAGCGCACAUGAGAAAGAUUGCUCUGCUUUUGUAGUUACUGUGCUAGUUUGUUGGGCAAAAUGAAAAUUACAGUUGAAGGAAGAUUGAGGCUUAAAGUUCAGAGACGUUUUGAAUAAAAGUUUUGAUAGUGUAGUAGCUGAAAAACAUAGGGCAGGUCUUGUAGUUUUGAACUUUUGGAUGUGUAUGUCAAUUUUGAGUCAAGUAGCUUUUCAGAUCAAAAAUGAUGUACCGUUAGUCGCUAUAUUGCUCAGUUCAUGUGCAACCAUUGGAGGAGUUCAAAAAAUCAGAACUCGUCCAUUCCCAUAAAAUUCUGUAAGUUUCAUGUGUGUGCUGCUACAAAUCUGAAAUAUUUUUCCAAUCAUACUAGUACUGAUGCAAUCACCUGAAAAAGUUGAAGAAAAAUUAUGUAAGUUGUAGACUAUAAGUUGACAUGCACACACGGCCAUUCUGUAAGUUGUAGACUAUAAGUUGACAUACACAUACAAGAGCAAUUGGUCUGCCUGCUGCAUACGGUGUUGGUCCACGUACACACUCCUCGAAUCUCUCUUCUUUGGCUCCCAGCGGUGAAGAUCUCCAUGCCUCCCGUUUGAAUUUUCAGUUAAUUUUUAAUUGAACUUGUACUGCUAUUGAUUCAGACCUGAGGGAAGAAGGCAGAACCUCUCUCUUGUUGGCAUUAAUUUUUCUCUCUCAUCUCCAUCUUCCUUUGUCAAUCGAAAAAAUUAGCGGCUAGCGCAUAAAUUGUGUAUUUGUUAGAUUGCUCUGCGUGCAAAGUGUAGAGAUUCUAAAAAUUAAAAAAGAAAACGUACAACGAUACAGAGAUUCUGUUGUUCUCUGGUUAGUAGUUCACCUUUGCUAAGUAUAGCAAAUUCUCUGGUUAUUUCUAGCAUAGCAAAAAAUGUCAUUGUGUUAUGCAUAUAAAAGCUUUAUAAAAAUGCGCAAACUGUUGUGUUUAUUGGUAACUCACGGCUGUGUGUAGCUCUUGUAUGUCUUCGGAAUACUUAUGCAUACUGUUGUUUGUACAUAUCUUCAGUACAAGUUUGGAAGGCUAGGAAGUUCUACCACCGACAUACACCAAGUUCAGAGACGUUGCACGGAGUGAGCCGCCGCCGCCGUAAAAAAUGGUUUAUUAGCAUAUUGUUUUUUGGUACUUAUGCAUACGGUUGUAGAAGUGAAAUUUGUUGGGUGCAUGUGCAGAAAAAUCGUCAGUCCAGUUUUCAAAAAUUCUGGAAGUUUGUUUGAUUCUAUAAAAUUCUGGAAGCUUCUUGUGUGUGCUGCUACAAAUCUGAACUAUUUGUCUAGACAUUCUAGUACUGAUACAAUCGCCUAAAAUAAGUUCAAGAAAAAAUCAGUAAGUUUGGUGCGUGUGCUGCUACAAAUCUAAAGUUCUUCUCGAGUCAUUCUAGUACUGACGUCUCUUUUAGUCUGUAGCGGAGGGGAUAAUUUUAUGCUCAUUCUUUCAUAGUAUGAAGCUCAUUUAUAGUUUCUUUUCUCAUUCUUUUAGUUAAGAAAAUGUUUAUUGACCUUGAAGCAUAAACCUCUCGGCAAUGUAACAUUCUGCUGAUAUUUUAAUAAUCGGUAAGCUGUUGUAGUGGGACAAGGUCAUCAUCUUGAGGAGGUCAGUGAGGUCAGUGAUACCAUGCAUGCUGAAACAAUGGCCUUGCACCAGGCUGUAUCUAUAACAUGGGCUCUGGGAUGCAGGCUGGUGCUGCUCUGGGUAGUAAUACAUGUACUGAGUGAUACACAAGUUUGAUUUUCACGGAAAUUGAACUCCAGGAUAUGAAGUUUGAUGGAUGUGGAGGUUCUUUUGACCUUGAACCCUAUAGGAGUUCAACUUUUGAUUAAGUUUUAGUUCAUCUUUAGCUUAGUUCAUCAACUUUAAUUUUCAGAAAUAUCGAGGAUGUACUGUAUUACUUUUAAAGGGGAGUUCAUGUUUGGCUGGAUUUGGCAGUUCAUUUCCUAUUUCUUUAUAGGUUCAUACACCAGUAAGGUUUGGUGGUACAAUUUUUAAAACUGUAGCUGUUCGGCAAAAAGGUUCACUACCCCAAUUAGGGGAUUUUCAAUCAGUAAUGAGGCUGUUGUGGAGAAGCAAAAUAUUCAGUGUUCAUGAUGUCCAAAUUCCAGUGAUAUGCCAUUAUAUAUUAUUGGCAUUGAUCAAGUCAUUUGCUGCAUUUUUUCCAUGUCUCAGUGUAUAAGAGCUGCUAGUCAGUAGACUAUGAGUUGUAGUCUGUAAUGGCUGGCUGUUCUACACAGUGCACACACAUGACCUAGGUGCAACCUAUUUAAUUGAUUGAUGUUUUCAUUUUUUUGAACAGGAAGAUGGGUCAAAAAAAGGAGCAUGAUCGGUUGCUCCUAUAGCGUGUAUCUAGACUAGUAGCUCUGCCAAUGUUUGGUACAGGAAGUACAUGUAUUCAUGUGGGUGCUUGAAAAGUUCUGUACAAGAAUAGGUUGAUGAUUUUUGUGCUAUGGAUAAUAUGAUUUAUGUACAUGUAUUAUAUGUGUGGAAACAAUUUCUGUUAGAUGAUGAAAGGAAAAAAUGGUUUGAAUUAAAAAUAUUGAUUAGUAUGAGUUAAAAAUGGUGGUUCGGAAUAAAAGAAAUGGCAGAAAUUCAAAUUGUAAAAGUUCAAGCAAAAAAAGAAACCCCAUGAAAAUUCAAAUGGUAAAAGUACAAGUCGUAAAAUGAGAG
Molecule: long non-coding RNA, 3321 nt
Filed under: Triticum aestivum (bread wheat)
Lineage: Eukaryota; Viridiplantae; Streptophyta; Magnoliopsida; Poales; Poaceae
Description: long non-coding RNA (TAES_LNC024036)
Source: RNAcentral